GACGAACCGUGCGAACGUUGUUCGGAAUCACUGGGCUUAAAGGGCGCGUAGGCGGUCAAUCAAGUCGGGGGUGAAAUCUUGCAGCUUAACUGUAAAAGUGCCUUCGAUACUGAUUGACUCGAGGGAGGUAGGGGCAGGUGGAACUUCCAGUGGAGCGGUGAAAUGUGUUGAUAUUGGAAGGAACGCCGGUGGCGAAAGCGACCUGCUGGAUCUCUUCUGACGCUGAGGCGCGAAAGCUAGGGGAGCAAAC
RNAcentral lists this ribosomal RNA (250 nucleotides) under uncultured bacterium. RNAcentral's name for it is "partial 16S ribosomal RNA". It matches the Rfam family "Bacterial small subunit ribosomal RNA", at positions 524 to 773 of the family's 1533-position model. The record is from RNAcentral.